This 86-nucleotide transfer RNA is filed under the name Nematostella vectensis (starlet sea anemone). It matches the Rfam family "tRNA". From Rfam's summary of the family: Transfer RNA (tRNA) molecules are approximately 80 nucleotides in length. Lineage: Eukaryota; Metazoa; Cnidaria; Anthozoa; Actiniaria; Edwardsiidae. The record is from Rfam by way of RNAcentral.
CCUUCGAUAGCUCAGUUGGUAGAGCGGGGGACUGUAGAUUUAUAAUUGUGAUCCCUAUUUUGCUGGUUCGAAUCCGGCUCGAAAGA